This 1085-nucleotide ribosomal RNA is filed under the name Escherichia coli. RNAcentral's name for it is "partial 23S ribosomal RNA". It matches the Rfam family "Bacterial large subunit ribosomal RNA", at positions 344 to 1431 of the family's 2925-position model. The record is from RNAcentral. Lineage: Bacteria; Pseudomonadati; Pseudomonadota; Gammaproteobacteria; Enterobacterales; Enterobacteriaceae.
GGAAAGGCGCGCGAUACAGGGUGACAGCCCCGUACACAAAAAUGCACAUGCUGUGAGCUCGAUGAGUAGGGCGGGACACGUGGUAUCCUGUCUGAAUAUGGGGGGACCAUCCUCCAAGGCUAAAUACUCCUGACUGACCGAUAGUGAACCAGUACCGUGAGGGAAAGGCGAAAAGAACCCCGGCGAGGGGAGUGAAAAAGAACCUGAAACCGUGUACGUACAAGCAGUGGGAGCACGCUUAGGCGUGUGACUGCGUACCUUUUGUAUAAUGGGUCAGCGACUUAUAUUCUGUAGCAAGGUUAACCGAAUAGGGGAGCCGAAGGGAAACCGAGUCUUAACUGGGCGUUAAGUUGCAGGGUAUAGACCCGAAACCCGGUGAUCUAGCCAUGGGCAGGUUGAAGGUUGGGUAACACUAACUGGAGGACCGAACCGACUAAUGUUGAAAAAUUAGCGGAUGACUUGUGGCUGGGGGUGAAAGGCCAAUCAAACCGGGAGAUAGCUGGUUCUCCCCGAAAGCUAUUUAGGUAGCGCCUCGUGAAUUCAUCUCCGGGGGUAGAGCACUGUUUCGGCAAGGGGGUCAUCCCGACUUACCAACCCGAUGCAAACUGCGAAUACCGGAGAAUGUUAUCACGGGAGACACACGGCGGGUGCUAACGUCCGUCGUGAAGAGGGAAACAACCCAGACCGCCAGCUAAGGUCCCAAAGUCAUGGUUAAGUGGGAAACGAUGUGGGAAGGCCCAGACAGCCAGGAUGUUGGCUUAGAAGCAGCCAUCAUUUAAAGAAAGCGUAAUAGCUCACUGGUCGAGUCGGCCUGCGCGGAAGAUGUAACGGGGCUAAACCAUGCACCGAAGCUGCGGCAGCGACGCUGAUGCGUUGUUGGGUAGGGGAGCGUUCUGUAAGCCUGCGAAGGUGUGCUGUGAGGCAUGCUGGAGGUAUCAGAAGUGCGAAUGCUGACAUAAGUAACGAUAAAGCGGGUGAAAAGCCCGCUCGCCGGAAGACCAAGGGUUCCUGUCCAACGUUAAUCGGGGCAGGGUGAGUCGACCCCUAAGGCGAGGCCGAAAGGCGUAGUCGAUGGGAAACAGGUU